This 492-nucleotide ribosomal RNA is filed under the name uncultured bacterium. RNAcentral's name for it is "partial 16S ribosomal RNA". It matches the Rfam family "Bacterial small subunit ribosomal RNA", at positions 29 to 507 of the family's 1533-position model. The record is from RNAcentral.
AGUGAACGCUGGCGGUAGGCCUAACACAUGCAAGUCGAACGGCAGCACAGUAAGAGCUUGCUCUUACGGGUUGCGAGUGGCGGACGGGUGAGGAAUACAUCGGAAUCUACUUUUUCGUGGGGGAUAACGUAGGGAAACUUACUCUAAUACCGCAUACGACCUACGGUUGAAAGCAGGGGAUCUUCGGACCUUGCGCGAUUGAAUGAGCCGAUGUCGGAUUAGCUGGUUGGCGGGGUAAAGGCCCACCAAGGGGACGAUCCGUAGCUGGUGUGAGAGGAUGAUAAGCCACCCUGGAACUGAGACAGGGUCAAGACUACUACGAGACGCAGCAGUGGGGAAUAUUGAACAAUGGGCGGAAGCCUGAUCCAGCCAUAGCGCGUGGGUGAAGAAGGCCUUCGGGUUGUAAAGCCCUUUUGUUGGGAGAGAAAAGCAGCAGGUUAAUACCACGCUGUUCUGACGGUAACCAAAGAAUAAGCACCGGCUAACUUCGUG